Molecule: ribosomal RNA, 431 nt
Filed under: uncultured bacterium
Lineage: Bacteria
Description: bacterial SSU rRNA
Rfam family: Bacterial small subunit ribosomal RNA
Source: RNAcentral
ACUCCUACGGGAGGCAGCAGUGAGGAAUAUUGCGCAAUGGAGGCAACUCUGACGCAGCCAUGCCGCGUGCAGGAAGACGGCCCUACGGGUUGUAAACUGCUUUUAUCCGGGAAGAAUCCCCAGUUCGUGAACUGGGUUGACGGUACCGGAGGAAUAAGCACCGGCUAACUCCGUGCCAGCAGCCGCGGUAAUACGGAGGGUGCAAGCGUUAUCCGGAAUUAUUGGGCGUAAAGAGCUCGUAGGCGGUUUGUCACGUCUGCUGUGAAAAUCCAAGGCUCAACCUUGGACUUGCAGUGGGGUACGGGCAGGCUAGAGUGCGGUAGGGGAGAUGGGAAUUCCUGGUGUAGCGGUGGAAUGCGCAGAUAUCAGGAGGAACACCAAUGGCGAAGGCACAUCUCUGGGCCGUAACUGACGCUGAGGAGCGAAAGCGU